Ananas comosus (pineapple) is the source of this 4515-nucleotide long non-coding RNA. RefSeq lists it as uncharacterized. The record is from RefSeq and is a predicted model, not a curated record. Lineage: Eukaryota; Viridiplantae; Streptophyta; Magnoliopsida; Poales; Bromeliaceae. The transcript is spliced from 5 exons.
CUCUCUUUCUCUCUCUCUCGCUCUGGCCUUUUAUACGGCGACGUUCUUUCACUCUUCGCCCCGUCUCUAUGAUCAGAUCCAAACCCUUUUAAUCGCGCCUCUCUCUCUUUCUCUCUCUCUCUCUCCCUCGCUCUCUCGCUUUCAAACCCGCUCUCUCGCUUUCAAACCCUAGAACCUUUGAUUGAACCCUAUCAAUGCACGGGCCAACGAAAACCUACCUAAAACAAUUCGAUCGGAAACGGACGAGAUGGUUCUUUGGAGCCUGGAUAUCUCAGUUGUUGCAUGUGGUGGUGGCAAGCUCGAGGCAGCAAUUGCAUAUCUUGCAAGAAAUUGGGUUGAGUGAUGCUCAUACCGGUGAUUUUCUUGCAAGUUAUGUAGUUGCUGCCUCAAGCUUGCUACCUCCCUUUGCCAGAACUAGUGAGUAACAUGCACAGAAUUCAGCCCUGCUAUGUAAGCUUUUGCAGUUUUGAAAUUUUGUAGUAACAUGAUUAUGAAAUAUAUUAUCAUUUUAAAGAAACAAUUAUGAUUGCAGAUACAAACCUGAAACAUCAUGAGACAUGUAAAUACUAGAAAAUUAUGUGAUGAAAUGAAAAAUGUUCGACUGCCGCUAUAUUUACUUGAUGUCUAAGAUAAUUCAGUAGGCAUUCAGCAGCCAUAUCAAUAUGCUUUAUGUGAAAACCGCAAAGUAAGCAUGAAAGUGCUGUUUUCUUCAACACUGUGUUUAGAUUAAUAUGCUGACCAUCCAUUGUCAAAAGUAACAAGUAAGCAUCAUUUAAGCAGGUGAAGAAAAUAACAAUAAAAGGACAGCUAACCAUUCUUAAGUAGUCAUGGCAGUCAUAGGUCAUAUAUCUGUUGUACGUUUUGCAGUCUAAAAUAGUUGCUUACAGGUCCAAACUGAAAUUUCAGCCCGAAAUUAAUUUGUGGAAUUGUCUUCUGUCCCAGAUAGUCCUGCCUAAGCAUGCAUGCUGAGAAAAAUAUUUAUUAAAUCAACGAAUUUGAGUUGGAACUUGUGAAGUGCUUCUAGAAGCCUUGGUUGAUAAUGGGAUAUCUUGGCCCACUAAAUAAAUCAGGAGAGACAUCAAAACGUUCCUUGUCUUAUAUUUGCUUCUUUUGCUGAAAUGAACUAGCUUCACCAGUUCUUUUGCUGAGAACUAGCUUCACCAGUGAAGCAUGCAAACUCACAUUUAAGUCAUCUCACACCAGUUUCAUUCACGCAAUAACCAAACUCGAUGACUCAUAUAUGUUGGGCAUGCUAGCCGAAGCUCUAUGGGAACACGAGAAGUUUGUGUAUCUUGGCCAAGUCAAAGGAAGGGAAAGAGGAGAAGUCGUGUAUCUAGGCCAUGCCAAAAGGAACAGAAGAAACAAAUCGGUAGAAACUGACGAGAUUAGUUUAUAUGAGGAAUUACUUUACCAAAUUGUUCAUUUGACAUGCUUAUUUAGGAACUUGGAGAAAAUUGUUUUUCACUAGAGGAAUCUGAGUUUUAUUAUCUGUUAAAAGCUCUAAACUGGCAUGCCGAAAGUAGGAUAGGCCAUCGGACCAUAUGUCAUUUCACUUGAGAUUUGUAAAUACUUACCCAUUGGACCAUGCGUCCUUCCAAUUGAGGUUUGGAAGUGGCAAGUUAAAGUAGGGACCAAGUAGCUAAUUAAUACAUGUAAUCAAUUUCUCCGAACAAAGUUUGAUCAAUACAGUGGAGGUCAGGUUCCAAAUUUGACAGAAAAUUUUGAUUUCAUCCAUGAGUGUUAGGUAAUUAUGGGCACCGUCCUACAUAACCUUUUUAACAAGCACAAGCCCUCUUAGAGAUGGAGAAUUGCAGAACACGUAAAGCUGGCUAGAAGUUGGCUAGAGCUGCUUACUGUCAGUACAGUAUUAUACAUCAUAUAGUGACAAACGGAGGCCAAAUAGAUGGUAUGACUGAGUGAGUGAAGCCUAGGGAAGUUGAAAAUCAUGGAUUAACAGAUGAAGCGUUGAACACUGGCUUAAUCUUGUAUGGUAACUGAUGAUUGCUGUGAACAGUGCACAAUCUUUUGAGCCCCCUUGCCUUCUCUGUUAGCACCUAUGUGAAACAUGACUAGCCAUACAGCUAGAAAUGCUUAAGCCCAAGUUACUAAUACUAGCUUACUAGCUUACAUAUAUUCAUGCCCUCUGUCAUCAUCUUUUGAUACGAGAUUACUUGCGCUGUGGCUCAAUAAGCUGGAAAUAGCUUUGUGCCCAGCAGAUUGUGAAGCUUAAACAGAGGGACCUGCAUUGAGAAUAAUCUCGUGAGUGUUCUUUGUCUGCAAUGAAUGGCACUUAUAUGUUGACUUCUAACUCUAAUAUAUCGUUGUUGAUCAUGCAUUUAAUGAGUUUUAUAUUGUUAAUUCGUUAUUUGACUCAGAAGUUAGCAGGUGAUCUGGAUUUCAUGGUGCCAUUGCUGGUACAUCUCUCUCUCUCUCUCUCUCUCUCUCUAUAUAUAUAUAUAUAUAUAUCUGCAAAGAACCAACAUGUAUUCCUGAAAUCAUUAACUACAUUUUUCAGGGAAAAAAAAACAAGCAUUAUUGAAAGUAUAGUGCUUCAUAACUAUGCUACCUCGUUAUAAGUAGUUGACUGGUGCUAACUUUUGCCAUUUCUACACAUAUAUGUAAGGGUUAUAUGAGGAUGCCAUUAACCCAUUUCUAUGUCAUGGCUAUAUGGAGUACAGUAACUGCUGUUGCUGUUACAUAUUUUGUUAGUACUCCAAAGCUUUUAAACUCGACUUGGCAUCCACUUUUCAAAAGACAGAUCACUUCAAGCAUCUGUUGUCCAAUUGAUGAAGUGUUCUUCCCGACUCUGCAUCAAUUCUUCGAAAAAGGACAGAUCAUUCAAGAAGGUCUGAUAUAUCCUCGUCUCAGAAAGCACUCAAACAAGACAAAGUCUCAGAUUUCAUGAACCGGAGGUGGAGAGUGACUUGCCUAGUUCCAAUCCGAAUCCUAGGAGCAAAAUUUGGAAGUUCUUGGCAAAUUAAGGUUUAAAUUAUGGACUGUUGGUUUUGUUUUCCAUACUGACACGAUUUCAACCCUACUUGCGUGGGGUGUUACUGCAGGUCUGAUAAAUCCUCGUCUCUAGAAAGCACCGAAAGAAGACAGAUCUCAGAUUUCGUGAACCGGAGGUGGAGAGUGACUUGCCUAGUUCCAAUCUGAAUCCAAGGAGCAAAAGUUGAAGUUCUUGGCACAUUAAGGUUUAAAUUAUGGGACUGCAGGCAGUAUUGGUUGGCAACCAGAAUGCUGUCAUCAGGCAUUGAUUAAGAGAAGCAAACCAAUUUGCAAUCCAGUUGUAUGUUUUCGGAGAUUAAUGAUUCCAAUCUUCAAAUUAUAUCGAGUAAACUUGUCGAUGGCUGUUACGUGAAACAUUGAACAGCUGGCUUUUACCUUUUUCUUUUUUUUUUCCUGUAGCAGAUGGUCUAUAGUGAGUCUGCUUCAUGAAAAUUCAAUUGUCUUUAGAGAAUAAAGCAUGCCCGAAGUGCUCAGGUUGCUUGAGGAACAAAUUGAAUCACCAUUCUGGUCCAGGAUCCUCCUUUUCAAGCUAUCUGAAGGUGUACAAGACUCGGAUAUUUCAAUUUAAUGUAGCUCUGGGGGAUCAGCCAGGAGCUAGGACAAAUAACCCUUCUGCAGAACUGAGGGGGUGUUUGUUUCUACAGAAGUCUGUUGCCCAAAGUGGAUGCCAGGUGGAACUCACGAUAUCCGUUAUUUGGCUUUCAUGCAACUUGAGAGAUCCAACGAAGUGGGUUUUACUCGCGUGGUUUUGACUUCAUCAGAUAUCGGUUCUAAGUCGCGAGUCCAAGCAAAAUUACGACUGCAUGGAACAGGUGACUAGAUGUUUCUCCACUAUUCUAAUUUUCGAACGCACCCUUAAUGGAUCUGUCAUUCUUUCCUCGCGUUCUUUAUUCUACACGGACAUUGGAGCCAUGCUGCAAUCUUGCAACAAACAGCAUGAAUUUGAAUUCUUGGAAACAUGGGCACACUUACCUGUGGGUCACCGUAGGCUCGACCAAUCCAUCUUGUAUAGAUGGAUAAGAAUAUGGGUUCAGGAUUUCUGGGUUUUUUUGUCAAAAAAAAGAGAAAAAAAAUACACCCCGUAUGCUUGUAGUUAUUUUCAAUCAAUUCGUUUCUCUUUUCCUUCUCAGUAUAAGAGAGAGAAACUCAGCUCGGAGUUUGGCCUAAUUUCAGGUUGGGUUAAUUUUGGGUCGGCAUGGUUCGGUACUUCCAUAUACAUGUGCAUUUUAAGAUCGAGCCCAGGUAAGAAACAUGCGCUGCCUCAGACCAUGCCAACUAAUGAGUUUUUGGGAAUAAUGUGUAGACUUUCCCAACUUUGCACUUCCGGGGCUACCUCCUAAACUUCUAUUGCUGACAAUUAGACCUUCUUAACUCUAUAAUAAGUUGUUAAAUAGACGCUUGAGUUCCUUAAGUGUUACUAUAUAUAAAUGCGAACAUGCUUGUGUUUUGCAUGUGAGACAGUAGACUGUUCGCUCCUGAAUGCCCAGUAUAUCUUCUGUUAUUAUA